Molecule: long non-coding RNA, 310 nt
Filed under: Cyanistes caeruleus (blue tit)
Lineage: Eukaryota; Metazoa; Chordata; Aves; Passeriformes; Paridae
Description: lncRNA (ENSCCEG00000023486.1)
Source: RNAcentral
AAUCUGAUCAGAAUCUCUGGCUGCAUCCUACGUCAGUGCCUACAGUAGGCCUAAUCCAAAUCGUGAAUGGGCAAGAAUGACAGUCUUUUCAAUCUGCUCAAGGUGACAAAUUCCUUCUUGGCUAUGCUUCAAGAGAAGAUGAAGAAAUAGCUGUUCUUAGAGAGGUUCGGGAUGAUAUAAAAAAUGACACUGAAUUCAAAUCUUGUGAUGUUUCUAUUAGAAUAUGUGUCACACUAAAGAAAUAGUGUAACACCAAGUGAAUAGUGUAACACUAAAUAAACUGAACACCAUCAACUAUGGACUGUACUUU